Molecule: ribosomal RNA, 404 nt
Filed under: Actinomycetes bacterium
Lineage: Bacteria; Bacillati; Actinomycetota; Actinomycetes
Description: Actinobacteria bacterium partial 16S ribosomal RNA
Rfam family: Bacterial small subunit ribosomal RNA
Source: RNAcentral
UGGGGAAUAUUGGACAAUGGGCGCAAGCCUGAUCCAGCCAUGCCGCGUGAGUGAUGAAGGCCCUAGGGUUGUAAAGCUCUUUCACCGGUGAAGAUAAUGACGGUAACCGGAGAAGAAGCCCCGGCUAACUUCGUGCCAGCAGCCGCGGUAAUACGAAGGGGGCUAGCGUUGUUCGGAUUUACUGGGCGUAAAGCGCACGUAGGCGGACUAUUAAGUCAGGGGUGAAAUCCCGGGGCUCAACCCCGGAACUGCCUUUGAUACUGGUAGUCUUGAGUUCGAGAGAGGUGGGUGGAAUUCCGGGUGUAGGGGUGAAAUUCGUGGAUAUUCGGAGGAACACCAGUGGCGACGGCGGCUCACUGGCUCGGUACUGACGCUGCGGUGCGAAAGCGUGGGGAGCAAACAGG